GUGGACGCCAGUCUGCAUGGAGCCGACCUUGAAAUACCACCCUUUAAUGUUUGAUGUUCUAACGUGGACCCGUAAUCCGGGUUGCGGACAGUGUCUGGUGGGUAGUUUGACUGGGGCGGUCUCCUCCUAAAGAGUAACGGAGGAGCACGAAGGUUGGCUAAUCCUGGUCGGACAUCAGGAGGUUAGUGCAAUGGCAUAAGCCAGCUUGACUGCGAGCGUGACGGCGCGAGCAGGUGCGAAAGCAGGUCAUAGUGAUCCGGUGGUUCUGAAUGGAAGGGCCAUCGCUCAACGGAUAAAAGGUACUCCGGGGAUAACAGGCUGAUACCGCCCAAGAGUUCAUAUCGACGGCGGUGUUUGGCACCUCGAUGUCGGCUCAUCACAUCCUGGGGCUGAAGUAGGUCCCAAGGGUAUGGCUGUUCGCCAUUUAAAGUGGUACGCGAGCUGGGUUUAGAACGUCGUGAGACAGUUCGGUCCCUAUCUGCCGUGGGCGCUGGAGAACUGAGGGGGGCUGCUCCUAGUACGAGAGGACCGGAGUGGACGCAUCACUGGUGUUCGGGUUGUCAUGCCAAUGGCACUGCCCGGUAGCUAAAUGCGGAAGAGAUAAGUGCUGAAAGCAUCUAAGCACGAAACUUGCCCCGAGAUGAGUUCUCCCUGAGACUUAGAGUCUCCUGAAGGAACGUUGAAGACGACGACG
RNAcentral lists this ribosomal RNA (694 nucleotides) under Salmonella enterica. RNAcentral describes it as "partial 23S ribosomal RNA". It matches the Rfam family "Bacterial large subunit ribosomal RNA", at positions 2164 to 2852 of the family's 2925-position model. Lineage: Bacteria; Pseudomonadati; Pseudomonadota; Gammaproteobacteria; Enterobacterales; Enterobacteriaceae. The record is from RNAcentral. RNAcentral also lists the same sequence under 1 other name.